Molecule: non-coding RNA, 128 nt
Filed under: Mus pahari (shrew mouse)
Lineage: Eukaryota; Metazoa; Chordata; Mammalia; Rodentia; Muridae
Source: RNAcentral
GUGUUGUAUAAAAGGUGACUGUUCGUUAGCAUUUCCUUUGACACAGAUGGAAAAGGCUCUUGGGCCUUACAAAAAAAAUUGAUGAUUAAGGCAUUGCUAUUUACUUAUGGUAAUAUUUUGGGGAGAGC